UACAGAGGUCUCAAGCGUUGUUCGGAUUCAUUGGGCGUAAAGGGUGCGUAGGCGGCGCGGUAAGUCGGGUGUGAAAUCUCGGAGCUUAACUCCGAAACUGCAUUCGAUACUGCCGUGCUUGAGGACUGGAGAGGAGACUGGAAUUCCUGGUGUAGCGGUGAAAUGCGCAGAUAUCAGGAGGAACACCAAUGGCGAAGGCAGGUCUCUUGGCAUUAACUGACGCUGAGGAGCGAAAGCAUGGGGAGCGAACAGG
Molecule: ribosomal RNA, 253 nt
Filed under: uncultured bacterium
Lineage: Bacteria
Description: partial 16S ribosomal RNA
Rfam family: Bacterial small subunit ribosomal RNA
Source: RNAcentral